GAUCAUAUGCUGAUAAUUCAUGUUUGGAAAGAUAUAGAGAAGAUUACCAUGGCCCCUGCUCAAGGAUGACACGCACAAAUCGAGAAAUAGUUCAAAUUUUU
This is a small nuclear RNA of Papaver somniferum (opium poppy), 101 nucleotides long. The record is from RefSeq and is a predicted model, not a curated record. NCBI's taxonomy places the organism in Eukaryota, Viridiplantae, Streptophyta, Magnoliopsida, Ranunculales, Papaveraceae.